RNAcentral lists this transfer RNA (76 nucleotides) under Clostridia bacterium. Its description in RNAcentral is "tRNA-Ala". It matches the Rfam family "tRNA". Rfam says of the family: Transfer RNA (tRNA) molecules are approximately 80 nucleotides in length. Their secondary structure includes four short double-helical elements and three loops (D, anti-codon, and T loops). Lineage: Bacteria; Bacillati; Bacillota; Clostridia. The record is from RNAcentral.
GGGGGUGUAGCUCAGAUGGGAGAGCGAUUGCUUCGCAUGUAAUAGGCCAGGGGUUCGAAUCCCCUCAUCUCCACCA